Molecule: ribosomal RNA, 467 nt
Filed under: uncultured bacterium
Lineage: Bacteria
Description: partial 16S ribosomal RNA
Rfam family: Bacterial small subunit ribosomal RNA
Source: RNAcentral
GAUGAACGCUGGCGGCGUGCUUAACACAUGCAAGUCGAACGGAAAGGCCCAAGCUUGCUUGGGUACUCGAGUGGCGAACGGGUGAGUAACACGUGGGUGAUCUGCCCUGCACUUCGGGAUAAGCCUGGGAAACUGGGUCUAAUACCGGAUAGGACGAUGGUUUGGAUGCCAUUGUGGAAAGUUUUUUCGGUGUGGGAUGAGCUCGCGGCCUAUCAGCUUGUUGGUGGGGUAAUGGCCUACCAAGGCGUCGACGGGUAGCCGGCCUGAGAGGGUGUACGGCCACAUUGGGACUGAGAUACGGCCCAGACUCCUACGGGAGGCAGCAGUGGGGAAUAUUGCACAAUGGGCGCAAGCCUGAUGCAGCGACGCCGCGUGGGGGAUGACGGCCUUCGGGUUGGAAACUCCUUUCGCUAGGGACGAAGCGUUUUGUGACGGUACCUGGAGAAGAAGCACCGGCUAACUACGUG